Molecule: ribosomal RNA, 211 nt
Filed under: uncultured Eubacteriales bacterium
Lineage: Bacteria; Bacillati; Bacillota; Clostridia; Eubacteriales
Description: uncultured Clostridiales bacterium partial 16S ribosomal RNA
Rfam family: Bacterial small subunit ribosomal RNA
Source: RNAcentral
ACACUGCCUUACACAAGGGGAUAGCCGUUGGAAACGACGAAUAAUACCCUAUGAAACUAUCACUUCGCAUGAAGCGAUAGUCAAAGUGUUAGCGGUGUAAGAUGGACUUGCGUCCGAUUAGCUAGUUGGUGAGAAAAAAGCCCACCAAGGCAACGAUCAGUAGCCGGCUUGAGAGAGUGUACGGCCACAUUGGGACUGAGACACGGCCCAG